This 485-nucleotide ribosomal RNA is filed under the name uncultured bacterium. RNAcentral's name for it is "partial 16S ribosomal RNA". It matches the Rfam family "Bacterial small subunit ribosomal RNA", at positions 28 to 507 of the family's 1533-position model. The record is from RNAcentral.
GAUGAACGCUAGCGGUAGGCUUAAUACAUGCAAGUCGAGGGGCCGCGCGGGUAGCUUUCUCUGUCGGCGAUCGGCGCACGGGUGAGUAACGCGUAUGUAACCUGUCCGCAACAGGGGGAUAACCCGGCGAAAGUCGGACUAAUACCGCAUAAAAUAGGGGUCCCGCCUGGGAUUAUUAGUUAAAGAUUUAUCGGUUGCGGAUGGGCAUGCGUACCAUUAGGGAGUUGGUGAGGUAACAGCUCACCAAGUCUUCGAUGGUGAGGGGUUCUGAGAGUAAGGUCCCCCACACUUGAACUGAGACACAGACCAGACUCGUACGCGAGGCAACAGAGAGGAAUAUAAUGCGAUAGACGAGAGCCUGAACCAGCCAAGUCACGUGAAAGAUGACUGCCCUAUGGGUUGUAAACUUCUAUUACAAGAGAAUAAUGUAAGUUACGAGUAUUUUAUUGAAGGUACCUAAUGAGUAAGCAACGGCUAACUCCGUG